Molecule: transfer RNA, 69 nt
Filed under: Ictidomys tridecemlineatus (thirteen-lined ground squirrel)
Lineage: Eukaryota; Metazoa; Chordata; Mammalia; Rodentia; Sciuridae
Description: Spermophilus tridecemlineatus (thirteen-lined ground squirrel) tRNA
Rfam family: tRNA
About the family: Transfer RNA (tRNA) molecules are approximately 80 nucleotides in length. Their secondary structure includes four short double-helical elements and three loops (D, anti-codon, and T loops).
Source: Rfam by way of RNAcentral
GGGAUUGUGGCUCAGUGGUAGAGCAUUUGCCUAACAUGCACGGGACCCUGGGUUUGAUCCUCAGCACCA